Molecule: ribosomal RNA, 260 nt
Filed under: uncultured bacterium
Lineage: Bacteria
Description: partial 16S ribosomal RNA
Rfam family: Bacterial small subunit ribosomal RNA
Source: RNAcentral
GUCCACGCAGUAAACGAUGAAUACUAACUGUAUGCGAUAUACUGUAUGCGGUACAGCGAAAGCGUUAAGUAUUCCACCUGGGGAGUACGUUCGCAAGAAUGAAACUCAAAGGAAUUGACGGGGGGCCCGCACAAGCGGAGGAACAUGUGGUUUAAUUCGAUGAUACGCGAGGAACCUUACCCGGGCUUGAAAUGCAGAAGACCGAUCGGGAAACCGAUUUUCCAGCAAUGGCUUCUGUGUAGGUGCUGCAUGGUUGUCGU